This 386-nucleotide ribosomal RNA is filed under the name uncultured bacterium. RNAcentral's name for it is "bacterial SSU rRNA". It matches the Rfam family "Bacterial small subunit ribosomal RNA", at positions 28 to 416 of the family's 1533-position model. The record is from RNAcentral.
GAUGAACGCUAGCGAUAGGCCUAACACAUGCAAGUCGAGGGGCAGCGGGGGCUUCGGCCUGCCGGCGAGUGGCGAACGGGUGAGUAAUGCAUCGGAACGUGCCCAGUCAUGGGGGAUAACUACGCGAAAGCGUAGCUAAUACCGCAUACGCCCUGAGGGGGAAAGUGGGGGAUCUUCGGACCUCACGUGAUUGGAGCGGCCGAUGUCAGAUUAGCUAGUUGGUGAGGUAAAGGCUCACCAAGGCGACGAUCUGUAGCGGGUCUGAGAGGAUGAUCCGCCACACUGGGACUGAGACACGGCCCAGACUCCUACGGGAGGCAGCAGUGGGGAAUUUUGGACAAUGGGGGCAACCCUGAUCCAGCCAUGCCGCGUGAGUGAAGAAGGCC